This is a long non-coding RNA of Rosa chinensis, 872 nucleotides long. RefSeq lists it as uncharacterized. Lineage: Eukaryota; Viridiplantae; Streptophyta; Magnoliopsida; Rosales; Rosaceae. The record is from RefSeq and is a predicted model, not a curated record. The transcript is spliced from 6 exons.
UCUGUUUCCACUAAUAUCUCCACACUGACAUCGGCUGUUGCAGACUAUCAAGGUGUCUUCGUUUCAAUUUUCAGUCUAUGUUGGGUCUCUGUUUGAUUACGCUUAAUAAAUCCUGUUUUUGCUUUGGAUUUUGUUGAAACAGAGGAAAAGAAAAGAAGAAGAGGAGGAAGAAGAAGACGAGGGAGACGGGAAAAAGUUGAUGCUCGAUUUGAACAGAAAUUGAGUAAAUUGAUCAUCCCAGGUAUGACAAAUCUGCUCUGGCUUUUCUUCAAGAAAGAUCUUCAUUCUUUCACCUACCGUGACUUAGUAGCUGACCUUUGCAGCACUCAAAUUAAACUGCCUGAUUGUAGAGCUAACUCUUUGGAAAAAUAGGUAUUGCAAUGUCUAGGAUGGUGAAGAUGCUGUUUGCAAGGAAAGAAAUGAGAACACUAACGGUGGGUGCUUGAUGCUGCUGGUAAAACCACCAUCCUCUACAAGCUCAAACUUGCACAAUUGAAUCUGUUGGUGAUUGGUUCUUUAAUUGAAAUGUGACGAAGCAUAUUGGUUGUUAGUUUCCCUGCAAUCCAGUCUGCUAUCGUCACAGUGCUGCAUAAAGUUGAUCGAACUUGAGAACAGUUCCAGCAUUUGAAGGGGGUUAUACCCUGGUGGAAAUCUUCCUUUCCUGUCCAAGACCAUGAGUUGUUAAGAAUGAAGAUCUAUUAGCAUUUUGGUGAAAAUGGAGUGCUUCGAAGCCAUUUAGAAGCAGGAAGGAAUCAUUGAAGCUUCCUAUGGAGUCAUGAUUGCUUGGGUUGAUCUUGGAGUUGAAAUCCCACUCGAACAGAUUUUUUAGUCCAAGAGGAAAUAAUCCAAGUGUGUGGGCAGCUAAACAAUCA